ACGAGGGUCGUCUGAAUAUUAUCCGGAAUUUGAAGACCGUUCCGAACCUGGUUAGCUUUCUGCGUGCGUGAUCGAGACUAUCCUUGUUUUUGCUUGAAUUCUUGAAACUGUGGUGCAUUUAAACCCUGAUUAGCAAAAGCAAAAUUAACUGGUAGUUUAAACUUCUGAAACCCAAAAUUCUAAGCAACGCCUCAAUCACGAAAAAAACACCAGGAAUCUUAUUCCCUUCAUGUGUUCUGUCUCCCCUCUUGUAGAAUAAUAAAAAAAAGGAAUGGUAGAACAACACAAAGAAACAGAGUUUCGAAGAGAAGGGGAAGAGAGCAGCCAUGGGCUCCGGCAAUUGUGAGUUCAGGCCUCUGGGCUUUCUUCUGGGGCUCCCCUUUGCUUUCCUCUCCCUCUUCAUCUCCAUGGCCGGCGCCAUCGUCUGGAUGUAUGGAGUGAUGAUCACUGUUGUUUGCACUUGCUGCCCAAAUGCGCCGAAGGUGAUUGAGCGGGGUCACGUGCUAAUGAGGACGCCAAUCCGCGUCAUGAGGUGGUUCAUGGAAACGAUCCCUUGCUAGCUACAUAUAUCGCAAUUAUUAGUUAGUUAUAUGCGUAUAUUGUUGUUAUUAAUAUUAUUGUUGGAUAAAUCUGGAUGUGGGUCUUGGCGCUGUGUUCCUACUAAUAGUACAGUUUUUCUGUG
Molecule: long non-coding RNA, 682 nt
Organism: Asparagus officinalis (garden asparagus)
Lineage: Eukaryota; Viridiplantae; Streptophyta; Magnoliopsida; Asparagales; Asparagaceae
Exons: 2
Source: RefSeq, a predicted model, not a curated record